Molecule: ribosomal RNA, 490 nt
Filed under: uncultured bacterium
Lineage: Bacteria
Description: bacterial SSU rRNA
Rfam family: Bacterial small subunit ribosomal RNA
Source: RNAcentral
GAUGAACGCUAGCGGCAGGCUUAACACAUGCAAGUCGAGGGGCAGCACGUCUUCGGAUGGUGGCGACCGGCGCACGGGUGCGUAACGCGUAUAGAACCUACCUUUUACAGGGGAAUAGCCCAGAGAAAUUUGGAUUAAUGCCCCAUAGUAUUAUUAGAUGGCAUCAUUUGAUAAUUAAACAUUUAUGGGUAAAAGAUGGCUAUGCGUUCUAUUAGCUAGAUGGUAAGGUAACGGCUUACCAUGGCGACGAUAGAUAGGGGUCCUGAGAGGGAGAUCCCCCACACUGGUACUGAGACACGGACCAGACUCCUACGGGAGGCAGCAGUGAGGAAUAUUGGACAAUGGGCGAGAGCCUGAUCCAGCCAUGCCGCGUGCAGGAAGACGGUCCUAUGGAUUGUAAACUGCUUUUAUACAGGAAGAAACACUCCCUCGUGAGGGAAUUUGACGGUACUGUAUGAAUAAGCACCGGCUAACUCCGUGCCAGCAGCCG